Molecule: ribosomal RNA, 497 nt
Filed under: uncultured bacterium
Lineage: Bacteria
Description: partial 16S ribosomal RNA
Rfam family: Bacterial small subunit ribosomal RNA
Source: RNAcentral
GAUGAACGCUGGCGGCGUGCCUAAUACAUGCAAGUCGAGCGAACAGACGAGGAGCUUGCUCCUCUGACGUUAGCGGCGGACGGGUGAGUAACACGUGGAUAACCUACCUAUAAGACUGGGAUAACUUCGGGAAACCGGAGCUAAUACCGGAUAAUAUAUUGAACCGCAUGGUUCAAUAGUGAAAGACGGUUUUGCUGUCACUUAUAGAUGGAUCCGCGCCGCAUUAGCUAGUUGGUAAGGUAACGGCUUACCAAGACGACGAUGCGUAGCCGACCUGAGAGGGUGAUCGGCCACACUGGAACUGAGACACGGUCCAGACUCCUACGGGAGGCAGCAGUAGGGAAUCUUCCGCAAUGGGCGAAAGCCUGACGGAGCAACGCCGCGUGAGUGAUGAAGGUCUUCGGAUCAUAAAACUCUGUUAUUAGGGAAGAACAAAUGUGUAAGUAACUAUGCACGUCUUGACGGUACCUAAUCAGAAAGCCACGGCUAACUACGUG